RNAcentral lists this long non-coding RNA (271 nucleotides) under Phoenix dactylifera (date palm). Its description in RNAcentral is "long non-coding RNA (PDAC_LNC004201)". The record is from RNAcentral. Lineage: Eukaryota; Viridiplantae; Streptophyta; Magnoliopsida; Arecales; Arecaceae.
AUGACAUCGAGUCUGCUCGUCAGCCUAUCAGAGAAAAUCCUCGUCUGAGCUGAUAUAAGCUCAGUCAUCCUACUCCAAUACUCAUCUGUGUCUCCCGCAGGAACAGAUGAUGAAGGUCCAACCUCUGAAGGUGCAGUAGGAUGAUCCAUAUGCUCCUCAUCCUCAGGGAUAGGGUCUCCAAUAUCUGGUGCAUCACCCUCUGGUGCAUCACCCUGAAUCCCUGCUCCAGUAUGAACCCACUGCCCGUUCACUUUCUCAUAGCCCAUGCGUA